Molecule: non-coding RNA, 71 nt
Organism: Gammaproteobacteria bacterium
Lineage: Bacteria; Pseudomonadati; Pseudomonadota; Gammaproteobacteria
Source: Rfam
GCGGGUGUAGUUCAAUGGUAGAAUGGGAGCUUCCCAAGCUCUUGGUGUGGGUUCGAUUCCCAUCACCCGCU